UUCUGUGGCAGUCCCUUCAUCCUCUGAGACAUCUGCUCAGUCCCACGGUCUGCUUCUCUUCAAUGCGAACAUCGGCGAGAACUAGUUCAAGCCAGUUUCCCACUAUGUCUGCAAAUUGGAGCUCAGGUCGCCAAGGAACCUGAUUGGUUUUGUCCGCUCAGUGAUUCCUCAGGCCUGGUCUCCACUUCGGUCCCCUGGCAUCUCCCAUCUCAUCUUUCCUUUAGCACCUGUGCGUUGUCACCUGUCACAUGCCAGCUCUCCAAUGCCAGUCGUGAUCACUUCUUCCCCUUCGUAUUUCAUAUCGCAACAGUAAGUGGCAGAUGCGUUCACAUUAGCAGCCUGGUAUCAGCCAAGAAGGGAAUGUCUGAACCCUGAAAAGUAGCCAGCACUGUACCCAGAGCUUUCUCUCCAGAGAGCUGGCUGUUAAACAGUGACCAGCCCUUGGCUAUUUAUAGCCACCUCUUUAAAAGGUCACCUAGCAGCCCUCUGAGGAGAUAACACAGUUCACCUACAUGGUGCUUAUUGUACGCCAGGAACGGGGCACUUUUCCCAUUUGGCCUUUUAGAGACAAGGAAAACAAGCAGAAAGAAUGAAGCUGUCCAGUGACCCACAGCUCGCUCAUAAUGCAACAUCCAGCAGCCGGGCUUCCGCAGCGUUUUUUGCCCCCACAAUGUCCUGCUGUUGCUUUACCUCAGCUCCAACUAACAACUAGGCAACCACCUUUGGAGCCCAGCAUCACUGCAGUUAUACCCAUUUAAAUUUGAUCUUAAAAAAAAAAAAAAAACCCUAACUGGAAGAUUUCAGAGGGAAGUGGAUGUCAGAAGGCCAAUAAUACUCUAAUGCUACAUCACCAUCCCUACGUCACCUCAUCACACAAAUACUGCAAGACAUCACAACACCACGUGAGCACCAGGUUCAGAGCUACAAGAGAAUGAAGGAGCGGAAUGCUUCUCAGCCCCCACCCCUCCCUAGAACUGGCAGAAAAGUGGAGGACUGAGCACCUGUGUCUCUAGGGAGAGAGACGCUGAGAAGCGUGGAAGAUUUGGAACCUGACAGGCAGCAGCCCCGGGCUCCUGUGGCCACUAACCAGCAGGGAUGAGCUAAGGAAGGAAAAUGAGCUUGCAGUUGAGGCCUCUGUCACCAGAUCUCCCUCUUAGCCAUCUGAAACGUUUGUAUUCCUCUAGAUAGACGCACGUGCUCUCCUUUUGUGGCCCCCACAGGGCUAAUGCCACACUUGAGCAUUUUUUGAGGCCAUUUUUCUUUCCCGUGUUUGUGAAUAAAGAAGAAACUGAGGAAGACACGAACUUUGUGCUGCUUUUUUGUUUUCCAGCAGUGACUUGGAGAUCAACGCCAGGUGCCCCUGUAGCACAGAAGCGGCUGUCACGCUUC
Myodes glareolus (Bank vole) is the source of this 1389-nucleotide long non-coding RNA. RefSeq lists it as uncharacterized. NCBI's taxonomy places the organism in Eukaryota, Metazoa, Chordata, Mammalia, Rodentia, Cricetidae. The record is from RefSeq and is a predicted model, not a curated record.